Molecule: small nucleolar RNA, 131 nt
Organism: Fukomys damarensis (Damara mole-rat)
Lineage: Eukaryota; Metazoa; Chordata; Mammalia; Rodentia; Bathyergidae
Source: Ensembl
AUCCUCCAGUUUACUUUCCCACUGGAUCUGAGCACUGGUCUUGGUGGUUUUAAAGGUGGAAAAGUAAUGUUGAAAUUGAGCUCACAGCCUAAUAGUUUUAUAUAUAGCAUGUGGGCUGCUAUCAAACAAGG